This 42-nucleotide ribosomal RNA is filed under the name Urobotrya siamensis. RNAcentral's name for it is "partial 18S ribosomal RNA". Lineage: Eukaryota; Viridiplantae; Streptophyta; Magnoliopsida; Santalales; Opiliaceae. The record is from RNAcentral.
UUCCGUUUAGGGUGACCUGCGGAAGGAUCAUUGUCGAAACCU